Molecule: long non-coding RNA, 4076 nt
Filed under: Solanum tuberosum (potato)
Lineage: Eukaryota; Viridiplantae; Streptophyta; Magnoliopsida; Solanales; Solanaceae
Description: long non-coding RNA (STUB_LNC010993)
Source: RNAcentral
GAAAAUUCUGCUCAUAUCUCCACCAUAGAAGUCGAUGGAGAAUACAUUUAAUGGUUAAACUGAAUGGUGCUCUCGCAAAUGUAAGUUUUUCUUUGUCCUCAGAAGCUUUCUAUUUUUGUUUACUUCCCUUUGCUUUCCCUUUUUUAAGAUCUUGUUGAGUAGUAUGGAGUGUCUAUUGCCACUAUGAAGUCGAGAAAUCAUCUUCAGCUCGAGAUAAAUUGAAUUUUAGAUGACCACAAAAAACAAAGGUGAUAAAAAAAAUUAUAUUCGUGUGGGAACAUGUAAAACGAAAUCUAGUAUAUAUAGGAAUUAAAAUAACUUGCUCCACAAAAUCUUGUUCUUUCCGUUUUCAGUGAGUUUAGAGUUAUGCACAUGUCCACUAUUGAAUUCAAAGCUUUAAUAGAAUUCAAAGGUGUACAAUACACAAGGUUUGUUUCCGAUCUAUCAAAAAUAUAUAAAAGCUUGCCUGCCAAUAAAUUUAACACCUAAAAGCAUCAGCACUAUUCAGGUUUUUAUUAAUGAUUAUUGUAUAUCAACUGAGCAAAUUUCUUUCUUUGUCAGGAUUCUGGUAACAUUAUAUGUAAGCUAUUACCGCUCUAGAUCAGUUUGUAAAAGGAAAGCUCUGCUGCAAUUCUCUAUUGAAUAGGCCGUUGCUUGAAUGUGGUCUGACAGCAAAGUGUAAGUGAAUAAAGAUAGUUUCGCAGUUUUGUCGCUGACUGUAAACGUUAAGUUUAUGCUUUGAACUGUCUAUACAUAAAUAUAUGUGAUCAUCGGAAUGAUGUAUAUCUUUGAUAUUAAUGACAUUUAAUAUUCUUUUCAGAAUAUAAAUUAUGUCGUGCUCAUCAUCAAGUGCGUAGCUUUAUAUUUAUGCUCCUAAAUUUUAGAAAAGAUAAUCACGGAUAAUGAUCAUAAGUAUUAAAAAAUAAGUGAACUUCCAGCCAGAAUUAGAUGUGUUAGACUUGCGGCUAAUUGUUGUGCGUUAUAUAAUUCUUGGAUGCCAGGUAUUGGAUUGGUUUCUCAUUGCUUAUUGACUUAUACUCUUAUCACGUUUUAAUUUUACAUCUUGUGAAAGACAUCAUAUGUAGCUUGUGUAACCAUGUUUAAUCGAAAGUAUUUAGUACUUGUAAGCAUCAACCAUCCCAUGUCAAGAAUGAAACUUUUCUUAAUAGUAGAACGAAGAUCUGUUGACACUAUAUAAAAAACUUUUUAUGUGAAUCUAUGCAGGAUACGUUGUAUUUGCACUAUCCUUCAAUGUUUGCACAUAUUUAAUUGUGCCACAACAUGACCAUGGAUGACUAUGAUUUGUCAGUUGAUUGCUAAAUUGAAUAUUAGGUGAGUUUUCUAUUGAAGCAUAUAGAUUUCCUUACAAAUAUUUAUGUAGGUUGGGGAUAUUCUUGAAAGCAUAAGAAGAAAGAAUAUGCAUCAAUCAUCCAUGGAAAUGUAUACUUACGAGGAGACAAUGGCCAUCACCACAUCUGUUUGUUGGGACAUAAAAAGAGCAUCCCUAAGGUAUGGAGAAACUCUUGCAAGAUUCUGUUACAUCAGUAUGAAUAUUGAUCCUGACAUUUUUUUUCUGUUUCUUGUGUCUCUGGAGUUCUCUCAUUAAAUAGGAAAAGAUUUUAGUGUCAGUACUUCUCUAUCUGAAUCCAUAGUUAGAAGUACAGGUAUAUGGGAAUUGAUGUCAUUCAUACUUGGGAACAAUUGAAAUUAAUCAUGAGGGAAAAGUAUAUCAUCCAGCAGUACAAGCUGUUCAAAAUAUGAUGCUGUCAUACUUACUACUCUUUGUUGCAAUUUACUGUCCAGAUAACUUAACAGUUAAUUUCGUGGAAUUCUACUUUGCUUGCCUAUUAGCUUGAUUUGGUCGUUGAUCAAUUGUUGUUGUAGGAGUUGUUCGAUCUUGUCUUAGUUGUUCUUAGACUUCUGUCAACAAAAAUCAUGAAUGGUCAGAAAAAUGCAAUCGAUUUGCAUCAGAGAUGAAUCUAAGGCUAGUAAACGAAUAGACGUGUCAUGAUGUAUUAUGACUAUGCUAGAGGGUGAACAAUUGAGAAGCCUUCGGUUCUUGAUUAAUUGAGAUGAAUUGGCGGCUUGGCUCCCUUCACAUUGCUUUGUUCCUCUAGCUUCUUCAGCAUAAAAAAUUGCUUGUGAGCCUUUUAUGAUAUACUGAAUUUGACACUUCUUCACUUGGCAGUAGGCUUAGAAAUCACUUUUUGUAGUCAAAUAGAACCAGAACCUUUCAUUACUUGUCUAGAGUAUUCAUUCAUGUGCAGCUGUAAGUAUAAACAGUGUGUGGUCUGUAAUUGUAACAAGGGGCUUGGCUUAGAGUUCUUAAAUUUCUUUUUAAUUGCUUUCAGUAUGGAGGUUGUGAUUUCCAAGUCAUGCAGCCGUCGACUAUGGCUUCCUUGAGAUGAAGCAUGACUUGCUGCAAAUGGGACGUACAGCUUUGAUGGAACCCAAAGGUACAUGAUAAAUAAGUUGUUUAAGUAGCACACAAGAGAGAUAUUGACAUUAUGGUCAUAGAUUAUAAGGAAAGAUAUUACUUUUUCAUUGUUAGGAUUUUGACAAGGCUCAGUGCUCAUUUGGGAAGUGAAAAGUUUCGAAGGUCUCUCUGUUCAAGUCGAGAAGUGAAAGCUGUUGAACUAUGUAUGUAAUAGCUUGUAUUGUUGACUUUGGUCCCUAGGCUCCCUUGGGUCUAAUGUCACUUCUUUUUACACCAACAACCAGUAUCUUUCUUGCGUUUUGUUUUGUCGAUGUGGUAUAUGCCUAGGAUGCUACAAUAAUGGUGUUCUUUUUACUCUGGAUACCAAGACAAAAAGCAAAAGACGACACAAUUAUUGGACUUUCUGUAUUGAGAAAUUGAAAUUUCUGGACACAAAUGGUUAGAGAAAACUGUAAAUGCAAUGUAAAAUGUAUAAGAAACAGGGGAGACUUUGAGGAUUUGUGAAUUGUUAUAGCUCUUAGCUCAGUUGAUAAAAGGAAAUUUUUUCUGCAAUUUUCUGCUGAAUAGACAGUCACUUGAAUGUGGUUGUGACUAAGAUAGCUCUUAGCUCAGUUGGUAUAAGUGAAUAAAGACUAGCAUUUUUAUCGCUGAGUGUAAGUGCUGUUUUGUUAUCGCUGAGUGUAAGUGCAAAAUGACUAGUCACUUAUCAGGAUUUCUGAAACAAUACAGCAUCCAAUUGUUGUCUCAGUUAGAUUGCUCGUUUUGUUACAAAUGUAACCGUAGGUUUUUCCAAAAUGAUAGCAAAAGCUUGAGUCCCAUUUCAGCAGUCAUGUGAUGCUAAUUUCUUCGGUUGUUUUGCAUUUCCGUCUUUUCUUUUAACCUAAGCCUGGGAUGAUUAUUAACCUUCUCAUCUGGAAUUUCAUAAGCAUAAAAAGAUAUAUGGAAAUCUGGCUCGGCAAGAUCAGUUUGACAUCCAAGACAGUGAAGAGCUUAACAGAAUGAAGGAAGAAAAUGCCAAUCUACAAGAAAAGCUGAAUGAUGCAGGUAUACAUUCUUAAUUGAGAUUCCAGACGGUGCAAAAUUGUAAAAUAUAAAAAAUUGCUUGUGAGCCAUAUAUAAUAUAUUGAAUUUUAAACUUCUUCACUUGCAGUAAUCACUUUCUUAGUCAAAUAAAACGAUGGUAUUUCAUUACUUGUCUAGAGGAAUCAUACAUGUACAACUAUAUAUAUAGAGACGUGUGUGCUGGUCUGUAAUUGCAAUAUGUGGAUUGGCCAAGAGUUCUAAAACUUCUUUUUAAUUGGUUUUGGUAAGGAGGUUGUGAUUUCCAAGUCGUACAGCUGUCUACUGUGCCUUCCUUGAGAUGAAGCAUGACUUGCUGCAAAUGGAACAUCAAGCUCUAAUGUACCCAAACGCCGGAUGUGGACAAGACCAUGGUUGUUUACGCUUCAACUCAGUUUCCUGAGUAUACGCAUAGUGUGAUUGCUCGUUGUCUUGGUGUUCCUGAGCAUAAUAUCUGUGUGAUAACAAGAAGGCCUUCGGUGGCUAGGCAGUAAGAAAUAUGCCAGUGAGUACCUAUUAACAGAAGAAAAGUUUUGAAACAUUUGCAAGGCUCAACACUUUUUUUUGUAAGGUCCCUUUG